This 1869-nucleotide ribosomal RNA is filed under the name Triticum aestivum (bread wheat). RNAcentral describes it as "partial small subunit ribosomal RNA". Lineage: Eukaryota; Viridiplantae; Streptophyta; Magnoliopsida; Poales; Poaceae. The record is from RNAcentral.
AUGGACGGAUAUAUCGAAACUGGCGUGAUUACUUCAGAGCAGGUGGAAGAUGCUUCGAAUGAACUACAUCAACAUACUCAUAACACGCUAGGAGAGACAAGCUCUGAGGAGAAUGUCACUGCAUUAGAUUUUGUCCAAAGUGCAAUCACAAGAAGGAACUUGGAGAAAAGAAUAGAGAAGGUAGAAAGCUACGUCGGUGAAGUGAAGCAGUCACCACUGUUGGGUGUAGCAAGCAAGAAUGCACUUAAUGAUACAGCCAACAAGAACGGGAGCCAAAUUAUGCCAGUUAGGAGAGUGAUUGCAGAAAAGCUUCAGGGAACACCUACUGCAGCAGCAAUAGUGGCAGGAGUGCCUGGGAAAAAUCCAGAUAUCAGUUCUUGGAAAAACACUGCAAGGAUUGCUUUCCAGAGGAUCUAUAGUAAGCUUAAUAUGGACAUCAAGCGGUGCUUUGAUUACUGCAGCAUUUUCCCUAGGAGAUCCAAGUUGAGAAGGGUCGACUUAGUUUGCAUGUGGACAGGGCAAAGGCUCGUAAAGACCCGUUGCGCAACAGAGGAUAUGGAAGAUGUAGCUGACGGCUACAUUGAGGCGUUAGUAUCACACUCAUUUCUGCAACGAGAAGGAACUUGUUCCGAUAUUGAUUGCUUUACAAUUCCUGAUCUGGUCCAUGAUUUUCUAGACGAGGUCAUUGGAAGUGAUUACUUCAGAAUUGAGAAUGGAAUGGGCCAGAGAAGAGAACGCUGGAAAGGGGAUGUCCCUCGAGAUGUCCGACAUCUUUUUGUUCAUAAUUAUGAUGCAAAAUUGAUUACUGAGAAGAUCAUUGGAUUGGAAAAUUUACGCACUCUCAUUAUUUAUGUUGUUGAAAGGGGCACCACAGUUGAGAAAGAAGUGAUUGAGAAUAUAUGCGAUAGGCUACCGAAGUUACGGGUGCUGGCCGUUGCAUUCAGCCAGGAACGUUAUCCAAUCGAGCUCCCCAUUGAGUUCUGUGUCCCAGAAUCCAUUAGUCACUUAAAGCGCCUAUGCUAUCUUGCUUUCAGGACAAGCUACUCGUGCACAGUAAUUGUACCAAGCGCGCUAGCUAAACUUCAACGUAUCCAGCUGCUAGAUUUUGGUGAUGGUAAAAUUUUGGAAUUUACCUUUUCUGAUCUUAUCAACUUGCGGCACAUAUUCUGCGGGGACAUGGAAUUUUCUAACAUAGGCAGGAUGGUCGCACUUCAAAUGCUACCACAAUUCAGGGUGAGUAAUGAGCAAGGUUACGAGAUAAAUCAGCUGAGGGACCUAAACAAGCUUUGUGGCAGUCUGGUGAUAAGGGGCCUUGAAAAUGUUAAUAGCAAAGAGGAAGCUGUUGAAGCCAAUCUAGCUGCCAAGGAAUGCCUAACACAUGUGACAUUGUCAUGGGGUUGUGAUACAAGGUGCAGUCAAGAAGUUGGAGCUGAGGUACUUGAGGGCCUGUGCCCUCCUUUGGGGCUUGAAUCACUGGCGAUCUGUAACUACAGAGGUUUGAGGUACCCAGAUUGGAUGGUGGGUAAGCAGAAUGGUGGUCCAAAGGAUCUGAAAAAUCUUGAGUUGGAAUGUUGCUUUCAACCGGGACCUGCUCCUGAACUUGGGGCUUUCAUUCAUCUCCGUGUGCUCUCGUUGCAGAGCUGCAGCUGGGACGCCUUAUCAAUUAAUAUUGAGUACCUCGCAUCACUUCAGUCUCUGGAUAUCGUUAAUUGCCCUAACAUCCGGUCACUUCCAACACUGCCCCAGUCACUUCAGGAAAUUUCUAUUCGAAGAUGCAAUGACGCGUUCCUGAAAUCUUGUGAAAGAGUGGGACAUCCAAACUGGCAGAAGAUUGAGCACGUCCCCACUAAAAAAAUUUCGAAAACCUAA